GCAGUAGCCACGGUAAUACGUAGGGUGCGAGCGUUAAUCGGAAUUACUGGGCGUAAGGCGUGCGCAGGCGGUUAUAUAAGACAGAUGUGAAAUCCCCGGGCUCAACCUGGGACCUGCAUUUGUGACUGUAUAGCUAGAGUACGGUAGAGGGGGAUGGAAUUCCGCGUGUAGCAGUGAAAUGCGUAGAUAUGCGGAGGAACACCGAUGGCGAAGGCAAUCCCCUGGACCUGUACUGACGCUCAUGCACGAAAGCGUGGGGAGCAAACAGGAUUAGAUACCCCGGUAGUCCCUGUCUCUUAUAC
RNAcentral lists this ribosomal RNA (302 nucleotides) under uncultured bacterium. Its description in RNAcentral is "partial 16S ribosomal RNA". It matches the Rfam family "Bacterial small subunit ribosomal RNA", at positions 508 to 807 of the family's 1533-position model. The record is from RNAcentral.